UUUGUUGUGAAGGUGUAAGUGUCGCUACAGCCAGGUGGAAACCGUGGAAACGCAAAACAAAGUAGAAAAAUUAUUUCACCAGAAGUGAAUACAAGCUCGUGGAUUAUUCCUUCCUUUUGAUUGCCGAACGAAUUAAUUGACUUGGAGUGGAUGUUAUAGCCAGUCAGGAAAAUCAGUUUUGUCUGUAGCUCUCAUCGUCUAACGUUGCUACAGAGGUAAUUCAGCACGCAGAAACAAUUUAUUUGCAAGGAAAUUCAGCAUGCAGAAUCAAUGGAUCUGCUGGAACGUUACGUUAGAAAUGACACCAAAUGUUCCGCAGUCAGAUCAGCGAAAAUUUCACCACUAAUUAUAAAUAAAUAAUUUGAGAGUUGUUCACUAUUAUA
Long non-coding RNA from Malaya genurostris, 383 nucleotides. RefSeq lists it as uncharacterized. NCBI's taxonomy places the organism in Eukaryota, Metazoa, Arthropoda, Insecta, Diptera, Culicidae. The record is from RefSeq and is a predicted model, not a curated record. The transcript is spliced from 3 exons.